Molecule: ribosomal RNA, 274 nt
Filed under: uncultured bacterium
Lineage: Bacteria
Description: partial 16S ribosomal RNA
Rfam family: Bacterial small subunit ribosomal RNA
Source: RNAcentral
AUACGGAGGGUGCGAGCGUUAAUCGGAAUUACUGGGCGUAAAGCGCGCGUAGGCGGUUAAAUAAGUCUGAUGUGAAAGCCCUGGGCUUAACCUGGGAAUGGCAUUGGAUACUGUUUAGCUAGAGUGCAGGAGAGGAGAGUGGAAUUCUCGGUGUAGCGGUGAAAUGCGUAGAUAUCGGGAGGAACACCAGUGGCGAAGGCGGCUCUCUGGACUGACACUGACGCUGAGGUGCGAAAGCGCGGGUAGCAAACAGGAUUAGAUACCCCAGUAGUCC